GCGUAUAUUAAAGUUGUUGCAGUUAAAAAGCUCGUAGUCGGAUGUCGGGCUCGGGCAGGCUGUCGGCUUCGGUCGGACGGCAGGCUCUGGUCUUUCUGCCUGAGGAUCCCGUUGCACUUUAUUGUGGGGCGUGGGGACGCAGGCCGUUUACUUUGAAAAAUUUAGAGUGUUCAAAGCAGGCCUACGCUUGAAUACAUUAGCAUGGAAUAAUGGAAUAGGACUUUGGUGUUAUUUUGUUGGUUUAUGGGACCGAAGUAAUGAUUAACAGGGACAGUUGGGGCCGUUUAUAUUUCGUUGUCAGAGGUGAAAUUCUUGGAUUUACGAAAGAUAAACUUCUGCGAAAGCAUUCGGCAAGGAUGUUUUCAUUGAUCAAGAACGAAAGUUAGGGGAUCGAAGACGAUCAGAUACCGUCGUAGUCUUAACCAUAAACUAUGCCGACUAGGGAUCAGUGGAUGUCAAUUUGCGACUCCAUUGGCACCUUGUGAGAAAUCAAAGUUUUUGGGUUCCGGGGGGAGUAUGGUCGCAAGGCUGAAACUUAAAGGAAUU
RNAcentral lists this ribosomal RNA (546 nucleotides) under uncultured Cryptophyta. RNAcentral describes it as "SSU rRNA". It matches the Rfam family "Eukaryotic small subunit ribosomal RNA", at positions 597 to 1154 of the family's 1831-position model. Lineage: Eukaryota; Cryptophyceae. The record is from RNAcentral.